UUUAGAAUGUUAAUUGUUUUGUGUCUGAGUAGUAUUAGUUAUGUUCUUGAAACUCAAAGAAUUUGGCGGUAUCUCAUUCCUUCCAGAGGAAUCUGUCUCGUUAUCGAUAGUCCGCGUUGGACCUUACUUAGAAUUUAUUGGUUUGUAUACCGCCGUAUAUUGAUUAUCUUUUUAGAGUUAAUUUAAUUUUCUUGUUUCUUUAUUUUGAUUUAUUUCAGGUCAAGGUGCAGCUUUUUCUAAGUGGAAUGAUGGAUUACAUUAUUAUUUGUUUAUUGGAUUGUUGAUUUAAAUAUUGGCAUGAAAUUGGAUUUGGUUGUAAUGGUUUGUAGAUUGUUAUAGUGAUAGUUGGUUCUGGGAUAUGU
This 362-nucleotide ribosomal RNA is filed under the name Inquilinitermes sp. IS174. RNAcentral describes it as "partial 12S ribosomal RNA". The record is from RNAcentral. Lineage: Eukaryota; Metazoa; Arthropoda; Insecta; Blattodea; Termitidae.